RNAcentral lists this ribosomal RNA (681 nucleotides) under Piromyces sp. Its description in RNAcentral is "partial large subunit ribosomal RNA". It matches the Rfam family "Eukaryotic large subunit ribosomal RNA", at positions 85 to 616 of the family's 3401-position model. Lineage: Eukaryota; Fungi; Neocallimastigomycota; Neocallimastigomycetes; Neocallimastigales; Neocallimastigaceae. The record is from RNAcentral.
AACGGCGAGUGAAGCGGGAAGAGCUCAAAUUUGAAAUCUUCAAGGUUUUACCUUGACGAAUUGUAGUUUAAAGAAGUGUUUUCUGUUGAAGUUUUGGUAAAAGUUCUUUGGAAUAGGACAUCAUAGAGGGUGAGAAUCCCGUAUUUGACCAUUAUUUUCAGCUGUGUGAUACACUUUCAAAGAGUCGGAUUGUUUGGGAAUGCAGUCCAAAAUGGGUGGUAAAUUUCAUCUAAAGCUAAAUAUUGGCGAGAGACCGAUAGCGAACAAGUACCGUGAGGGAAAGAUGAAAAGAACUUUGAAAAGAGAGUUAAACAGUACGUGAAAUUGUCAAAAGGGAAGCGUUUGACACCAGUGUUGUUUUCUCGAAAAUCAAUUAAAAAAAGUUGGAUUUUGUGUUGUAUUGACCUUAACAGCUUUCUUCACUCUUUUCCUGCUUUUUUUAAUGCACUUUUCGUUUAACAAGUCAACAUCAGUUUCUUUUGUUGUAAAAGGGUCAUUGGAAGGUGGCUUUCUUUUCGGAGAAAGUGUUUAUAGCCUUUGAUCUCUGCAAUCGGAGAGACUGAGGUCUGCAGCGUAGAUCCUUCGGGGUUAGAUACAUUUGUGCUAAGUUAUAACUUUUCAUAGACAACUUGUUGACUAUGUUUAGUCAUGUAGCUUACUCGCUUAUGCUAUUUUACCUAC